Molecule: non-coding RNA, 96 nt
Organism: Paramarasmius palmivorus
Lineage: Eukaryota; Fungi; Basidiomycota; Agaricomycetes; Agaricales; Marasmiaceae
Source: the annotation of a GenBank genome assembly
UCCCUGGUAGUAUAUCGGUUAGUACACGCGCCUGUCAUGAUGCGUAUGCAAGCAAGGCCGACGCGCGAAAGCUGGGUUCGACUCCCAGCCAGGGAG